RNAcentral lists this ribosomal RNA (1333 nucleotides) under uncultured bacterium. RNAcentral describes it as "bacterial SSU rRNA". It matches the Rfam family "Bacterial small subunit ribosomal RNA", at positions 28 to 1382 of the family's 1533-position model. The record is from RNAcentral.
GACGAACGCUGGCGGCGCGCCUAACACAUGCAAGUCGAACGAGAGAUGAGGAGCUUGCUCUUCAAAUCGAGUGGCGAACGGGUGAGUAACGCGUGAGGAACCUGCCUUAAAGAGGGGGACAACAGUUGGAAACGACUGCUAAUACCGCAUAAGCCCACGGCUCGGCAUCGAGCAGAGGGAAAAGGAGCAAUCCGCUUUGAGAUGGCCUCGCGUCCGAUUAGCUAGUUGGUGAGGUAACGGCCCACCAAGGCGACGAUCGGUAGCCGGACUGAGAGGUUGAACGGCCACAUUGGGACUGAGACACGGCCCAGACUCCUACGGGAGGCAGCAGUGGGGAAUAUUGCACAAUGGGGGAAACCCUGAUGCAGCGACGCCGCGUGGAGGAAGAAGGUCUUCGGAUUGUAAACUCCUGUUGUUGAGGAAGAUAAUGACGGUACUCAACAAAGAAGUGACGGCUAACUACGUGCCAGCAGCCGCGGUAAAACGUAGGUCACAAGCGUUGUCCGGAAUUACUGGGUGUAAAGGGAGCGCAGGCGGGAGAACAAGUUGGAAGUGAAAUCCAUGGGCUCAACCCAUGAACUGCUUUCAAAACUGUUUUUCUUGAGUAGUGCAGAGGUAGGCGGAAUUCCCGGUGUAGCGGUGGAAUGCGUAGAUAUCGGGAGGAACACCAGUGGCGAAGGCGGCCUACUGGGCACCAACUGACGCUGAGGCUCGAAAGUGUGGGUAGCAAACAGGAUUAGAUACCCUGGUAGUCCACACCGUAAACGAUGAUUACUAGGUGUUGGAGGAUUGACCCCUUCAGUGCCGCAGUUAACACAAUAAGUAAUCCACCUGGGGAGUACGACCGCAAGGUUGAAACUCAAAGGAAUUGACGGGGGCCCGCACAAGCAGUGGAGUAUGUGGUUUAAUUCGACGCAACGCGAAGAACCUUACCAAGUCUUGACAUCCCUUGACGAUGCCCCAAACAGUAUUUCUCUUCGGAGCAAGGAGACAGGUGGUGCAUGGUUGUCGUCAGCUCGUGUCGUGAGAUGUUGGGUUAAGUCCCGCAACGAGCGCAACCCUUAUGGUCAGUUACUACGCAAGAGGACUCUGGCCAGACUGCCGUUGACAAAACGGAGGAAGGUGGGGAUGACGUCAAAUCAUCAUGCCCUUUAUGACUUGGGCUACACACGUACUACAAUGGCGUUAAACAAAGAGAAGCAAGACCGCGAGGUGGAGCAAAACUCAGAAACAACGUCCCAGUUCGGACUGCAGGCUGCAACUCGCCUGCACGAAGUCGGAAUUGCUAGUAAUCGUGGAUCAGCAUGCCACGGUGAAUACGUUCCCGGGCCUU